CAGAUCAGGGUUUACCUUUAUUGUACAUAAUGCUGAUUUCUGCUGCUGCUGCUGCUGGAUCUCUCAUUGUAGUUGUAGUUGUGAUGGGCUGCAUCUGCAAAAAAUACAGAAAAACAGUCUUGACACGACAGGAAGACCGAACUCUUUCAGCGUUGUGUAAACCAACAGGAAGAACGACAAAGAUAGAAGCUGUGUAUGAAAAUGUCCCCAAAAAAAUGAUGAUCAGAUGACUGGAACUGAUGAUGAGUUCAUACAGGACAAUACCUCA
Carassius auratus (goldfish) is the source of this 268-nucleotide long non-coding RNA. RefSeq lists it as uncharacterized. Lineage: Eukaryota; Metazoa; Chordata; Actinopteri; Cypriniformes; Cyprinidae. The record is from RefSeq and is a predicted model, not a curated record. The transcript has 3 exons.